UACAGGAGGAAACAACAGUAACAUAACUAGAUGAAGAAGACAAAGAACUCAUCAAAUCAAUCACUUUCAGAAACUUAGAAGAUUAUGUUAAACAGAUCGAAGACGAUGAUGAUGAUGAUGAAGAUUUUUAUAUACCAGGACAAUCAAGUGUCACGUGAAAGCUACUUGUCUCUUUGUAUUGUGUUUUUAAAAAAAAAUUAUGUUUCUAUUUCCUAUGGUCUUAAGUAUGAAAAGUAGAAAGAUCGUUGUAUAGCAUUACCUUGAAUUUACUUGAGUCAACAAAGUGGGUAUGUGUACAUAUAAUUGACAAGUCUAGGCCCAUCCAAGUUGUAGGGCUCAUGAUGCAAAAUUUUGUUUCUAAUAGGAUUGCAUCAAUGGCAAUUAGUAUUUCCAAGUUGUAAGAUGAUUGAGAAAAAACACAUAGAUCUAUGUUGUUGAUAGCUUUAGCAAUUCUCAAAUAUGUGUUCCUGAAACAUCUGCAUUGCAGCUAGGAUAUGCUAUUCUCAUAAACCGCUCACCUAAAAAUAAGAGCUCUCUAUUGCUUAAUGCAGAUAAAUAGAUAAUCUUGCUAUGCAUGGUUGGAGCCAAUCUGUUAAUUUUUUAUAUCUGGAGGACAGUAGUGGAUAAAAAUGCCAAUAAUGUGGAUCAUUGUCAUAUGCUUCUAUCGAAAUUGACUUAUAAUAAGGACUGUGGAAAGGAAGUGUUGAGCAUAAAAUGGCGACCUACAAUAGUGGUAAUUUCUUCUUCUUAUUGUGGGUGAUAUGCCUUUUCUUUUCUUAUGAACCUACCGUAGCGGUAAUGCGAGGAGCAUGUAUGCACAAAUUAUAUCACUCUUUAUAUUGCAUCUUUAGUUUAGUUCUCACAUUUUUUUAUCAGAUUAAGUGAAAGCUAGAUGAUGUUGCACCUUCAAGUGCCUGCGAUUGAUAUGCGUCCACUGAAUCAACAAAAUUUCAAUUGAUAUUGUAGCCGAUGUCGUGGCAAGUCUUGACAACACUUUCAUAUAAUCAAUAUUGUAAUGUUUGACCAAGUGCAGCUCCAUUUACCUUCUAUGGUCGUAAUUAUGUUUUUGAAUCAUGAUCCAGUUUAUGAGAUAUUAGAAGAAAAAAAUCAUAGGUGGUUGUGUCAGAGGCCUUGGGAGAGGUGCCAUGUGUACACGUUGUGAAGGCAUAUUUAUCCCCAAGGUGUUUUGGUGAUUGAUGACAAUGCUUUUGCGGACUAAUCGUGUGCAUUGAGAUUUUCAGAUAUUCAUCCUUUGGCACGAGACGAUUCCCUUCCCUCGGUGUUUUAUUCAAGACGGUGCAGCC
Long non-coding RNA from Triticum aestivum (bread wheat), 1304 nucleotides. RefSeq lists it as uncharacterized. NCBI's taxonomy places the organism in Eukaryota, Viridiplantae, Streptophyta, Magnoliopsida, Poales, Poaceae. The record is from RefSeq and is a predicted model, not a curated record. The transcript has 3 exons.